Molecule: long non-coding RNA, 2026 nt
Filed under: Mus musculus (house mouse)
Lineage: Eukaryota; Metazoa; Chordata; Mammalia; Rodentia; Muridae
Description: long non-coding RNA chr4:42132348-42134374
Source: RNAcentral
GCAGCCUCAGCAGGCUCAAGCAGGCUCACUGGGGCACACACAAGCUCACUUGCACUUGGCUCCUGAACCCCUUCAUGCCACAGGAGGACAUCUGAGCGAUUCCCGUCACUCCCCUGUGAACCCGUCGGAGCCUCGGCCUCUCAGAUUCUUGCGCACACAGUCUCUCAGGCUCACUCACUCUCUGUGGCCUGCCUCAGAUCGUCUGCCACGGCCCCCCGUGUGACCCCACUCCUGGCCUUCAGCCUGCUGGUUCUCUGGACCUUCCCAGGUAAGGCUUUGGAGAUGAUUACGGUAGGGGCCACAGUGACCUGUGGACAAUAUGUAGGUCUUAGACUGUUACAAUGGUCAUGAAAGACCCUCCGAGUUCAGAGUCAGUGGAUCCAAGGGCUCCUUAUGCCUUCUGUGUGUGCCUGUCAAUAUGAGUGUGCCUGUAUCCAGGAUUCCAAUGUGGCUCAGCUCUGUCAUAUCCUGGGGCUUAUAGCUGUGGGCUCCAUGUCCUGUUACCUCAGCUUCCAGGCAGCAGAAGGAAGGAACAGUGUAUCUUCCUUGAGGGACCUAAGACUAUAAUUAAGUGGGUGGAGUGUUUGCCUUGCCUGGGUGAAACCCUGGUUUCAAUUGCACCACUGGGGUUGUGGGGGUGAGAGCUUUGCUGUGUAUUUGCUUCCAUCUGAGAGAACAAGAAACACUGAAGACAUGCUUAAUAACUUGUUCCCCUUUUGGGGGUUGCAUUUUUAAGGGCCUUGGUUUGGUUUGGUUUGGCUUGGUUUGGUUUGGUUAGUUUGGUUUAGUUUGGCUUUUGAGAAAGCAUCUGUCCAUGUUGCCCAGGCUAGCCUCCAUCUCCUGGGCUCACGUGAUCCUACAUCUCAGCUUUCCUCCUGGUAGCUGGGACUCCGGGUAUGGCAGCCAUCUGCUGUAGUCAUUCAGAAACCUGAAGGAGUCUCAGCAGAGGCAAGCCUCCCCUGUCCCAGCAUUCUCCUGUUAACUCUCCAUAUGCUAAAACACUGUAAAAGCUGAGAAAACCUGGGAAAGGGUGUAUGACCCCAGCAUUUGGGAUACGUUGAAAAAUGGUUAUUUACUAAAUGGCUUAGAAGACUACAAUAUGUUCAGCAGCCAACUGAGCCACAGUGGCACUCAAGGCUGAAUAUCAGGUCCAGCAAUCACACACAGAGAGAUGCUAUCAAAGCCACUUAGGGACUGUGGCCUCCCUUCCUCAUGGUCUCAGGGUCUUCUCCCCUUCUUUCUCCUAUCUCAGCCCCAACUCUGGGGGGUGCUAAUGAUGCGGAAGACUGCUGCCUGUCUGUGACCCAGCGCCCCAUCCCUGGGAACAUCGUGAAAGCCUUCCGCUACCUUCUUAAUGAAGAUGGCUGCAGGGUGCCUGCUGUUGUGUGAAUUGCUUGUGGAAAGAAUAUCUAGCCCCAUCCCCCCAUGAGCCCUUGCUGAUGCCAUCAUGGCUUUAACCCUGAACUCAGGGCCGAGCCCAGUUUUCAUGGAAGCCCAUGAAACAGGUCCCUACAAAUAGUCUCCAAGCCUCCGUUCCUUACUUUAGAGCUUGCUAGGAAACUGGGUUCCAGGGCUUUUAUUCUCUCCAACCUCUGGCUACAGGUUCACCACACUAAGGGGCUAUCAGCUCUGUGCACCUCCAGACCAGCCCUGGGUGGAUCGCAUCAUCCGAAGACUGAAGAAGUCUUCUGCCAAGGCAAGCCUGACCCUCCUCAGUCCUGCCUCCACCCUCCCAACACCCCGAGAUUCCAGCUCAUGACCCUGCCUCUCCUCCCUCCCCUUAGAACAAAGGCAACAGCACCAGAAGGAGCCCUGUGUCUUGAGUAAAGAGAUGUGAAUCACUCUGGCCCAGGAAACCAAGGACCAGAAGAGAGGACCAGGCCUCCUGAUGCUCUGUCCCAGACCUAACCCAGCCAAGUCUGUGCCUAGAGAGUCGAUGUGAGUGUGGACAAGAGAGUUUGUGUGGCUAGAACACCGUCUCUCUGUGGCUAGACUGCAGUGCUUCCAAUAAAGCUGCUUGGUACCG